RNAcentral lists this ribosomal RNA (494 nucleotides) under uncultured bacterium. RNAcentral's name for it is "partial 16S ribosomal RNA". It matches the Rfam family "Bacterial small subunit ribosomal RNA", at positions 28 to 507 of the family's 1533-position model. The record is from RNAcentral.
GACGAACGCUGGCGGCGUGCUUAACACAUGCAAGUCGAACGGUGAAGCGCCUUCCUUUUUGGUGGGUGUGGAUGAGUGGUGAACGGGUGAGUAACACGUGAGUAACCUGCCCCCUUCUUCUGGAUAACCGCAUGAAAGUGUGGCUAAUACGGGAUAUUCUGGGUCUGUCGCAUGAUGGGUCUGGGAAAGAUAUUGUUUCGGUGGGGGAUGGGCUCGCGGCCUAUCAGCUUGUUGGUGGGGUGAUGGCCUACCAAGGCGGUGACGGGUAGCCGGCCUGAGAGGGUGGACGGUCACACUGGGACUGAGACACGGCCCAGACUCCUACGGGAGGCAGCAGUGGGGAAUAUUGCACAAUGGGCGCAAGCCUGAUGCAGCGACGCCGCGUGAGGGAUGGAGGCCUGCGGGUUGUGAACCUCUUUCGCCAGUGAAGCAGGCCUGCCUCGUUUGUGGGUGGGUUGACGGUAGCUGGAUAAGAAGCGCCGGCUAACUACGUG